This 720-nucleotide ribosomal RNA is filed under the name Escherichia coli. RNAcentral's name for it is "partial 23S ribosomal RNA". It matches the Rfam family "Bacterial large subunit ribosomal RNA", at positions 2079 to 2798 of the family's 2925-position model. The record is from RNAcentral. Lineage: Bacteria; Pseudomonadati; Pseudomonadota; Gammaproteobacteria; Enterobacterales; Enterobacteriaceae.
GACGGAAAGACCCCGUGAACCUUUACUAUAGCUUGACACUGAACAUUGAGCCUUGAUGUGUAGGAUAGGUGGGAGGCUUAGAAGUGUGGACGCCAGUCUGCAUGGAGCCGACCUUGAAAUACCACCCUUUAAUGUUUGAUGUUCUAACGUUGACCCGUAAUCCGGGUUGCGGACAGUGUCUGGUGGGUAGUUUGACUGGGGCGGUCUCCUCCUAAAGAGUAACGGAGGAGCACGAAGGUUGGCUAAUCCUGGUCGGACAUCAGGAGGUUAGUGCAAUGGCAUAAGCCAGCUUGACUGCGAGCGUGACGGCGCGAGCAGGUGCGAAAGCAGGUCAUAGUGAUCCGGUGGUUCUGAAUGGAAGGGCCAUCGCUCAACGGAUAAAAGGUACUCCGGGGAUAACAGGCUGAUACCGCCCAAGAGUUCAUAUCGACGGCGGUGUUUGGCACCUCGAUGUCGGCUCAUCACAUCCUGGGGCUGAAGUAGGUCCCAAGGGUAUGGCUGUUCGCCAUUUAAAGUGGUACGCGAGCUGGGUUUAGAACGUCGUGAGACAGUUCGGUCCCUAUCUGCCGUGGGCGCUGGAGAACUGAGGGGGGCUGCUCCUAGUACGAGAGGACCGGAGUGGACGCAUCACUGGUGUUCGGGUUGUCAUGCCAAUGGCACUGCCCGGUAGCUAAAUGCGGAAGAGAUAAGUGCUGAAAGCAUCUAAGCACGAAACUUGCC